Small nuclear RNA from Gastrolobium bilobum, 119 nucleotides. RefSeq annotates it as U5 spliceosomal RNA. The transcript has a single exon. Lineage: Eukaryota; Viridiplantae; Streptophyta; Magnoliopsida; Fabales; Fabaceae. The record is from RefSeq and is a predicted model, not a curated record.
CUCUGCCAGUGAGCACAAAGCCAACUAUUCUUUCCCCUUAUACUAAGGAAUACCGUGUGCCUCGCUGCUAUCAGUAGCAUACGAAUAAUUUUUAGAUGGUGCUUCUCUGUGGAGUGGCU